This 1047-nucleotide ribosomal RNA is filed under the name uncultured Methanosarcina sp. RNAcentral describes it as "bacterial SSU rRNA". It matches the Rfam family "Archaeal small subunit ribosomal RNA", at positions 1 to 1054 of the family's 1478-position model. The record is from RNAcentral. Lineage: Archaea; Methanobacteriati; Methanobacteriota; Methanomicrobia; Methanosarcinales; Methanosarcinaceae.
CCCGUUUGAUCCUGGCAGAGGUUACUGCUAUCGGUGUUCGCCUAAGCCAUGCGAGUCAUAUGUAGCAAUACUGGCGUACUGCUCAGUAACACGUGGAUAACCUGCCCUUGGGUCCGGCAUAACCCCGGGAAACUGGGGAUAAUUCCGGAUAACGCACAUAUGCUGGAAUGCUUUUUGCGUAAAAUGGAUUCGUCUGCCCAAGGAUGGGUCUGCGGCCUAUCAGGUAGUAGUGGGUGUAAUGUACCUACUAGCCUACGACGGGUACGGGUUGUGAGAGCAAGAGCCCGGAGAUGGAUUCUGAGACAUGAAUCCAGGCCCUACGGGGCGCAGCAGGCGCGAAAACUUUACAAUGCGGGAAACCGUGAUAAGGGGACACCGAGUGCCAGCAUCAUAUGCUGGCUGUCCGGGUGUGUAAAAUACACCUGUUAGCAAGGGCCGGGCAAGACCGAUGCCAGCCGCCGCGGUAACACCGGCGGCCCGAGUGGUGAUCGUGAUUAUUGGGUCUAAAGGGUCCGUAGCCGGUUUGGUCAGUCCUCCGGGAAAUCUGACAGCUCAACUGUUAGGCUUUCGGAGGAUACUGCCAGACUUGGAACCGGGAGAGGUAAGAGGUACUACAGGGGUAGGAGUGAAAUCUUGUAAUCCCUGUGGGACCACCUGUGGCGAAGGCGUCUUACCAGAACGGGUUGACGGUGAGGGACGAAAGCUGGGGGCACGAACCGGAUUAGAUACCCGGGUAGUCCCAGCCGUAAACGAUGCUCGCUAGGUGUCAGGCAUGGCGCGACCGUGUCUGGUGCCGCAGGGAAGCCGUGAAGCGAGCCACCUGGGAAGUACGGCCGCAAGGCUGAAACUUAAAGGAAUUGGCGGGGGAGCACAACAACGGGUGGAGCCUGCGGUUUAAUUGGACUCAACGCCGGACAACUCACCGGGGGCGACAGCAAUAUGUAGGCCAGGCUGAAGACCUUGCCUGAAUCGCUGAGAGGAGGUGCAUGGCCGUCGCCAGUUCGUACUGUGAAGCAUCCUGUUAAGUCAGGCAACGAGCGAGACCCA